UGAGUAACGCGUGGAAACCUGCCUCAUACAGGGGAUAACAGGAAGAAAUUCCUGCUAAUACCGCAUGAGCGCACACUGUCGCAUGGCAGAGUGUGAAAAGAUUUUUUCGGUAUGAGAUGGUUCCGCGUCUGAUUAGCCAGUUGGCGGGGUAACGGCCCACCAAAGCGACGAUCAGUAGCCGGCCUGAGAGGGCGGACGGCCACAUUGGGACUGAGACACGGCCCAGACUCCUACGGGAGGCAGCAGUGGGGGAUAUUGCACAAUGGAGGCAACUCUGAAUGCAGCGACGCCGCGUGGGUGAAGAAGUUAUUCGUAAUGUAAAGCCCUAUCAGCAGGGAAGAUAAUGACGGUACCUGACUAAGAAGCCCCGGCUAACUACGUGCCAGCCGCUGC
RNAcentral lists this ribosomal RNA (393 nucleotides) under uncultured bacterium. RNAcentral's name for it is "bacterial SSU rRNA". It matches the Rfam family "Bacterial small subunit ribosomal RNA", at positions 107 to 518 of the family's 1533-position model. The record is from RNAcentral.